CUACAGUCAGUGGUUACUUCUCUGUUCAAACGGAUGUUGAUUCUUUUCUUACCGUUAGUUGAUUUCCUCCAGGUGACAAUUUGUCAGCCAAAACACAUAUCUCAGCAGACUUGACAAAAAAAUAAACAUGUACAAGAAAGCCAUAACAAUAGGAUGAUGGGAAGAGACCUUAUUUACAGCUGCAACAAUGUUUGAAUAAUCUACCAACACCAAAAACACUAUGCACAAUCAGGCAGAUGCCAUUCUCAACACUCCAGAUGACCAAUUCCCAUUCAUUCUGCACACUCUCUCUCUCUCUGGUCCCAACCAUAAUCUCCGCCUCCACUGUCAAAUCAGAGCCUCAACUAUGUGCUGAAAAGAAACCUCUUCUUCUGUCUUCUGGAAAGUGUACAUGAAAAAUUAAAGAAACUUCGGAUGUCAUGAUUUGAUAGUAUGAUUCGCUAAGGCAGUAUGAUUCGCCAAUGACUGAUACAGGUCGAUCCAACACUUGUCGUGCUCUACUGCAUUUUCCCAUCUCUUGUUGAAUAUCCUCAUUUCUAUUAGAGAUUGCAUCCUCACCUGCGCGCAUUCUAUUAGUCUCUGUACCUAUGGCUAUUGUAGACCCUGAAAACCCCAAUUUAACUGUUUAUUCACAUCUUACUUCAGGUCUGUUAUCAACUUACUCAAGGGACUUGGAUUGUGCCUGCAAUGCCGAAACACGGAUGGAGACUCUCAACACGUGUUUAAUGGAGAAUCUCUUCUAGUUAUAAUUUUAUUAGGUAGAAGAGCUACUUGUACUUGCCUGAGUUUUGUUGAAGACACCAAGUGUGGGCAAGCCAAGGUGUACUAUGUACUCAGAAUCGACCACACCGACAUUUUUCGCCCUGUCACCCCGAACAACAGACUAAAAAAUUCGAUCAAGCCUUUAGUCAAAUGUCUAUACGUAACAGGGGAAGGACUAAAGGGUGCAUUUGCAAUUAUAUGCUUGUAAACCUCAAGCCCUGUAUCAACUCUCCCUUCAUCACAGUGCGCGUUGAUCACAUUAUUAUAAGAGACGACAUUAGGCACUAUAUCAUUUUGCUCGAAGAAGUACUUAAACAAAGCAAUGGCGUCACUGUACCUGCACUACAAAUGAAGUAGCAGGAAUUAGAUACCAAACCGAAUCAUCAUCACAAGCAAAGAAUUAACAGUAAAGCAGAAAACUUUACCGUUUAGCUCGAUACAUAGCAGCUAUAAUCGCAUUACAUGUGAAGACAGUGGGCCUAGUUCUGGAGAAAACAGCGGUGCGAGCGAGGUAAGAAGCAGCAUCAAGAUCAAAGGCUCUAAUAAGCGACUGGACAUUGUUAUGCAAGCUAAGUCGAGGGCCAACAAGAGCUGAAGUGGAAUCGGGAAGACGGGGAGCAUUGGGAUCCCGAGGAGGAGGGUAAGGGUUACGCUGAAGAGCGUGCAGCGGAGGUUCGAUGCGGAGGCGCCGUUUCCGCCGGCGGCGUUCAGCGGCAGCUUCUUCAGCGGAGGAGAAGGCAAAACUUCGUCGCGAUGAAGGGAUUGAAAGUUGAGGAGCGGGAAUUAGGGAAGCGGUGAUGGGUGGUGAGGUGAAGUAGUGGAGGGCUCGCGUUAAGGAUGGCGCAUAGGAGGUGGCAGAUGAGGAAGAGGAGCGGUUGAGAAGGAGGACACGGUAAAGAGACAUCAGUAUCGGUAUUGGUGUGGCAAUGGCGGAAUGGAUGGAUGAAAAAGAGAAGGGUUUUGGGCUUGGGGGUGUCUCAGAGCAGAGAGAGGAGAGGAAGACUGUUGCGAGGGAGAAUUCGCUUAAACCCUAGAGAUUAAAUUUUAUAAAAAAUUAUUAUUAAAACCAUUGAAAGCCGAUGGUUCCAUCUCUGCUUUGUUAACAUAUCAGUUCUGUUGUCUAUCAAUUAAAAGAUCCGAUUUGUUAUGCUGAGUUUUUGCAUUCAUUCUACUAGUUUUGCAAUGCCAUUACACGCACGGUUGCAUUCAUUCUACUAGAUUAUUUAUGUAUGUAUGAUGGCCCAACAAAUCAGUAUCGAAAACUAUGUUUACUCUACAUUUGAGAAACAGUUACCCCAUGAAUUAUUUUGUCAUGAAAAAUAACUAAACUUUUAAGAACACCUAUCUAUGAAGUCCACUUUGUAGCUUCCGGUCAACUUUGGAGCGAAAAGACCAGCGAUGAUUACACGUACCAAAGAGCAACCGAUUAACCAACCUAGCUAAUCACCACGAAAGCCUAACUCUCUGCUAGACUUCACACUCGAUGUUACACAAUUACUGAAACCUUGCUUUCCUCUCCGGGAAGUAAGUGAGACAGGGGCUUGAAAUAAUAUACUGCAACUUUUCUUUUGUUUCUCAAUUGGCAAUCCAGAAAUAUUAGAUUUGAAUCCAAUACAACGCAAAAUGUUGUUUUAUUCAGUAUGGCUGCUGCGGUUUAAAUAAUUCUCUUUCUCAUAAUCUAGAUCCAAAAAUACCGGAUUCGAAUCCAAUAUAGCUCAAAACGUUGCUUUAUUCGUUUAAUUAGCUCUCCUUCUCAUAAACUAGUCGUUGCAGUUGCCUAAACUGCAGUCAGUGAUUACUCCUCCAUUCAAACGGAAUGUUGAUUCUUCAUUCUUUUAUCACUGUGAGCUUAUGCAAUCCUUUAAUUUCGUCCAGGUGACAAUUUGUCCAGCCAAAACACAUAUCCCAGCAGACGUAAACAUUUACAAGAGAGCCAAGAUAAUAGGAUGAUGGGGAAGAGACCUUAUUUACAGCUGAAACAAUGUUUGAAUAAUCAGGCAGAUGCCAUUCUCAACACUCCAGAUUACCAAUUCCCAUUCAUUCUGCACACUCACUCUCUCUGGUCCCAACCAUAAUCUCCGCCUCCACUGUCAAAUCAGAGCCUCAACUAUGUGCUGAAAAGAAACCUCUUCUUCUGUCUUCUGGAAAGAGUGCAUGAAAAGGAAACUUGGGAUAUCAUGAUUUGGCAGUAUGAUUCGCCAAUGACUGAUACAGGUCGAUCCAACACUUGUCGUGCUCUACUGCAUUUUCCCAUCUCUUGUUGAAUAUCCUCAUUUCUAUUAGAGAUUGCAUCCUCACCUGCGUGCAUUCCUAUUAGUCCCUCUCCCUAUGUAAUUGUAGACCUGAAAUCCAAAAACAAGAUUAUAGUUGAUGAGUAGAGUAGGCCAAGUGUAGUAGGAUGUCUGGA
Molecule: long non-coding RNA, 3169 nt
Filed under: Linum usitatissimum (flax)
Lineage: Eukaryota; Viridiplantae; Streptophyta; Magnoliopsida; Malpighiales; Linaceae
Description: long non-coding RNA (LUSI_LNC003399)
Source: RNAcentral